Molecule: long non-coding RNA, 835 nt
Organism: Quercus lobata
Lineage: Eukaryota; Viridiplantae; Streptophyta; Magnoliopsida; Fagales; Fagaceae
Exons: 3
Source: RefSeq, a predicted model, not a curated record
CUCAAGCUGUUGCCCCACAACCAAAAGGAAAAGGCAAAAUCUCAAUGGUAAUAGCUAUCAUUAUUGGUGUUACAAUUGCUGCGUCUGUGGUUCUAGUCAUUCUGCUUUACUGUUUCCAAAGGAGGAAAGCAAGAAAGAAGUCCAAUGCUACAAACGAAAAGAAUUCUGGGAAAUCUGACGGCCUCCUAAGUUAUCAUGGUUAAAAUUCUAGUAGAAUUUGGAGGAAGGUCAAGUGUUGGUUCUGCCAAGAUUGCUUAAGGCAUGAUUGGGAUGACGUUGUUCGUGGGCAGUAAAACAAUGGAAAGGAAAAUCCUUGAAAUCUUAGUAAAUUGGGGGUUAGUGCUGCUGUUUACCACAUUUGGAGUCUGUAGAAAUGCAAUUAUAAUUCAAGGAUUGAUUUAAACAAAAGAUUAGAUUGUGGAGCUUAUCAGAAAGUAAGUCAAGAUUUGAAUAAGGAAGGAUAUUAAUCAGAUGCUCUGCUGUAGAUGGGGAUUCAUAGAUUCUGUUCUUCAGAGAGCCUCUACUUAGCUUAAGGAUGCAGCCUAGGCCUUCCUUCUAGCUUUAUAAAGUUGUUUGUUUUUUGGUUUGCUGGCUAUCUGUUGUUGAAUAUUGGUUGCAUUUUGUCUUGGUUGUGCUUUAAUUUGUUUGUUGGUUUAUUCAUUUUGGUAUUGUAGUUCUGUUAUGGUUCAGCAGGUUUGUAGGUGGUGUUGCUUUGAGUGGCUGGAGCUUAGUUGAGGUUCUUGUUGGUUUGUUGUUAUUGGCAUUGCUUUUUGGGAACCCUGUCUGAUUUGUUGCUGGUUUGGGUCGUUUGUGGUUCUGUGUUGUUGCUGGUUCU